GUGGGGAAUAUUGCGCAAUGGGCGGAAGCCUGACGCAGCGACGCCGCGUGGGGGAUGACGGCCUUCGGGUUGUAAACCUCUUUCAGCAGGGACGAAGCGAAAGUGACGGUACCUGCAGAAGAAGCACCGGACAACUACGUGCCAGCCGCCGCGGUAAUACGUAGGGUGCAAGCGUUGUCCGGAAUUAUUGGGCGUAAAGAGCUCGUAGGCGGUUUGUUGCGUCGGCUGUGAAAUCCCGAGGCUCAACCUCGGGUCUGCAGUCGAUACGAGCAAACUAGAGUGUUGCAGGGGAGACUGGAAUUCCUGGUGUAGCGGUGAAAUGCGCAGAUAUCAGGAGGAACACCGGUGGCGAAGGCGGGUCUCUGGGCAACAACUGACGCUGAGGAGCGAAAGCGUGGGGAGCAAA
Molecule: ribosomal RNA, 406 nt
Filed under: uncultured bacterium
Lineage: Bacteria
Description: bacterial SSU rRNA
Rfam family: Bacterial small subunit ribosomal RNA
Source: RNAcentral